GUUCAUUGGACUGUGAAAUUUGGGUCAAAAUAUAAUUUGGCAUUUAAAUUAGAAAGAUCAUAUAAUACAUGUAAUAGGAAACAUGUGUUCUAAGUUUCAAAUUGAUUGGAAUUCAACUCCAUCAAAAUCUACCUUGACCAAAAACUUUAACUUGAAGUGGAGUAGAGGACCAAAUGAAAGCACAGACCAGAAAACACAAUGCCACUCUACUAUAACAGGUGGGGCAUAU
RNAcentral lists this long non-coding RNA (229 nucleotides) under Mytilus galloprovincialis (Mediterranean mussel). Lineage: Eukaryota; Metazoa; Mollusca; Bivalvia; Mytilida; Mytilidae. The record is from RNAcentral.